This 397-nucleotide ribosomal RNA is filed under the name uncultured bacterium. RNAcentral's name for it is "partial 16S ribosomal RNA". It matches the Rfam family "Bacterial small subunit ribosomal RNA", at positions 523 to 918 of the family's 1533-position model. The record is from RNAcentral.
CUACGUAGGUGGCAAGCGUUGUCCGGAAUUAUUGGGCGUAAAGCGCGCGCAGGCGGUCCUUUAAGUCUGAUGUGAAAGCCCACGGCUCAACCGUGGAGGGUCAUUGGAAACUGGGGGACUUGAGUGCAGAAGAGGAAAGUGGAAUUCCAAGUGUAGCGGUGAAAUGCGUAGAGAUUUGGAGGAACACCAGUGGCGAAGGCGACUUUCUGGUCUGUAACUGACGCUGAGGCGCGAAAGCGUGGGGAGCAAACAGGAUUAGAUACCCUGGUAGUCCACGCCGUAAACGAUGAGUGCUAAGUGUUAGGGGGUUUCCGCCCCUUAGUGCUGCAGCUAACGCAUUAAGCACUCCGCCUGGGGAGUACGGUCGCAAGACUGAAACUCAAAUGAAUUGACGGGG